CCUCGUCGAUCUGCUGCGGGCAGAUGAAGUGGAUGUGCGUGUCGAUGCCGCCGGCCGUCGCGAUGAGCCCUUCGCCCGCGAUCACCUCGGUGGCGGCGCCGAUCGCGAUCGUCACGCCCGGCUGGAUGUCGGGGUUGCCCGCCUUGCCGAUUGCGGCGAUGCGCCCGUCCUUGAUCGCGAUGUCGGCCUUCACAAUGCCCCAAUGGUCGAGGAUCACGGCGUUCGUCACGACCGUGUCCGCCACGAGCGCGGCUACGCGCUGCGACUGGCCCAUGCCGUCGCGUAUG
Molecule: small RNA, 287 nt
Rfam family: 5' ureB small RNA
Source: Rfam